GGGCCCGUUGCCUAGCACGGAUCAGGGCGUCAGCCUGCGGAGCUGAAGGUCGAGGGUUCGAAUCCCUCCGGGCCCG
Molecule: transfer RNA, 76 nt
Filed under: Nitrososphaerota archaeon
Lineage: Archaea; Thermoproteati; Nitrososphaerota
Description: tRNA-Arg
Rfam family: tRNA
About the family: Transfer RNA (tRNA) molecules are approximately 80 nucleotides in length. Their secondary structure includes four short double-helical elements and three loops (D, anti-codon, and T loops). Further hydrogen bonds mediate the characteristic L-shaped molecular structure. tRNAs have two regions of fundamental functional importance: the anti-codon, which is responsible for specific mRNA codon recognition, and the 3' end, to which the tRNAs corresponding amino acid is attached (by aminoacyl-tRNA synthetases). tRNAs cope with the degeneracy of the genetic code in two manners: having more than one tRNA (with a specific anti-codon) for a particular amino acid; and 'wobble' base-pairing, i.e. permitting non-standard base-pairing at the 3rd anti-codon position.
Source: RNAcentral